GUUUGGUGUUGCGGUCUUGAAUUAAACUCAUAUUUGAUCCUACCUUAACAAUUUGUGAAAGAACCCAGAACAUACAAGAGACGAAAAAUGUCCGAAAAAGAAAGAAAACUACCUGUUAUUUUAAAUGGCCAAUUUUUUAAGCCAGAUGUCAAAUGUGUAUUGUGUGUAAAUAAAACUAUUAAAUUCGACGAAAAUGCAACUGGAAAUUUACACAAACAUCUUAAGAGGGUGCAUCCAAACAGCUACGCGUCAUAUGAGGCCAUGAAAUCAAAAGUGGCAAAAAAGGAAGAGAAUAAAUUAUCAGAGCCUAAGCCAAAUUUCUUCUGUUUCCAAAGUUCAAGCCAGCUAAACAACACUAUGCGACUAUAUUAUCGCUGAAAUGCGUAUUCGAAACCUUAGUUAUGCUUAAAAAACCAUUAAUUAAGUAAGUUAAUCAUACUAUAAAAGUUUUUGUAAGUUUA
This 461-nucleotide small RNA is filed under the name Drosophila yakuba. RNAcentral describes it as "GE28055". Lineage: Eukaryota; Metazoa; Arthropoda; Insecta; Diptera; Drosophilidae. The record is from RNAcentral.